Molecule: microRNA precursor, 65 nt
Filed under: Marmota monax (woodchuck)
Lineage: Eukaryota; Metazoa; Chordata; Mammalia; Rodentia; Sciuridae
Rfam family: mir-1255 microRNA precursor family
Source: RNAcentral
UCUUAUGGGUGAGCAAAGAAAGUGGUUUCUUGAGGUGGAAUCUAUUCUUUGUGAACUUUUGUGAA